RNAcentral lists this ribosomal RNA (777 nucleotides) under Triticum aestivum (bread wheat). Its description in RNAcentral is "partial small subunit ribosomal RNA". The record is from RNAcentral. Lineage: Eukaryota; Viridiplantae; Streptophyta; Magnoliopsida; Poales; Poaceae.
AUGCAGCUCUGGUCGCUCAAGGGUGCGGAGGAGGCCCUCCGCGACCGGUGCCGGGUGGACCACCUCGACAGCAGAACCUACGAGCAAGGGCACACGAAGACGUUCGGUGCCUGGGUCUGGGUGUGGGAUGUUGCUCACAUCCCAGCCAAGCACACUCUGUGGAUCAUCAAGCAUGGCGCGGGCAGAACGGAGGAGAUGUACGGCUUCUCUCCCCCGAGCCGCGACGUCGCACCUCCGCCGUGGGUUCGCCGCAAAGACCUGCUCAUCCACGUCGACCUCGUCGAAGAUUGGACGCCGUUGUCCCCGCGCUCCUCCUCCUCCCCGCAGAGCGAGAUUCCAUCAUCAGAGUCCGAGGGUGACACCAGGCCGUUCCCUGCAACAUACCCUGGCACCUGGGUGAUGAAGACCGAGGAUGGCCAGGCUCCUGACGACCAAGGCCGUGCGCACCGCCCCGGGCCUGCCGUGGCCAACACUGGCUGCCAUGGCAUGCCCUUCGGCGGCCCCAGACGCAGCCACGACGGCGACGAUGGAGGGGGCCGGCGCUCCUGGAAAGACACCCUCCUGGGGCGCGGGCGCUCCUCCCAUGAUGCUUCUGCGGCGGCGCAUCCCCAGCAACGCCACCAACGCCAGCGUAGCCGCACGCCCACCAGCCGGCACGGCCAGCACCACCACCAUCACAACUCCUCCAAGGACAAGCAGGCUCCGUCCGCGCGCGCCCGGACCCCCCCCAACAAGAUGAGGCUGCACCCAGGCACGCUUCCCCAGACCCGAUGGUAG